This 1234-nucleotide ribosomal RNA is filed under the name metagenome. RNAcentral's name for it is "bacterial LSU rRNA". It matches the Rfam family "Bacterial large subunit ribosomal RNA", at positions 1564 to 2808 of the family's 2925-position model. The record is from RNAcentral.
UGAGUACGAGAUGCUACGGCGUCGAAGCAGUGUAUGUCAGACUUCCAAGAAAAGCUCGCAAUGUCAUAAAUAAAUAAUGCCUGUACCAUAACCGACACAGGUGGGUAGGUAGAGUAUACUAAGGGGCGCGAGAUAACUCUCUCUAAGGAACUCGGCAAAAUAACUCCGUAACUUCGGGAGAAGGAGUGCCUUAUUUUAUAAGGUUGCAAUAACAAGAUCCAAGCAACUGUUUACCAAAAACACAGGUCUCCGCUAAGUCGUAAGACGAUGUAUGGGGGCUGACGCCUGCCCAGUGCCAGAAGGUUAAAGAAGUCGGCUAGCUUUGCGAAGCUGAUAACUGAAGCCCUGGUGAACUGCGGCCGAACGAUAACGGUCCUAAGGUAGCGAAAUUCCUUGUCGGGUAAGUUCCGACCCGCACGAAAGGCGUAAUGAUUUGGAUACUGUCUCGGAGAGGGACUCGGUGAAAUAGACUUGUCUGUGAAGAUGCGGACUACCUGCACCAGGACAGAAAGACCCUAUGAAGCUUUACUGUAACUUGAAAUUGAAAUUGGACUUUAUUUGCGCAGUAUAGGUGGGAGGCGUUGAAAAUAAUCUUGCGGGAUUCUUGGAGCCAUCAGUGAGAUACCACUCCUAUAAUGUUAGAUUUCUAUCUUUGUAUCAUAAUCUGGUCAAAGAACAGUUUCAGGCGGGCAGUUUGACUGGGGCGGUCGCCUCCCAAAUGGUAACGGAGGCGUACAAAGGUUUCCUCUGAACGGGUAGAAAUCGUAUCUAGAGUGUAAAGGCAUAAGGAAGCUUGACUGUGAGACCUACAAGUCGAGCAGGGACGAAAGUCGGUCUUAGUGAUCUGACGGUGCUGAGUGGAAAGGCCGUCACUCAACGGAUAAAAGUUACUCUAAGGAUAACAGGCUGAUCUCCCCCAAGAGUUCACAUCGACGGGGAGGUUUGGCACCUCGAUGUCGGCUCAUCGCAUCCUGGGGCGGUAGUACGUCCCAAGGGUUGGGCUGUUCGCCCAUGAAAGCGGUACGCGAGCUGGGUUCAGAACGUCGUGAGACAGUUCGGUCCAUAUCCGGUGUAGGCGUUAGAAUAUUGAGAGGAGCCUUCUUUAGUACGAGAGGACCGAGAAGGACAUACCUCUGGUGUACCAGUUAUCGUGCCAACGGUAAACGCUGGGUAGCUAUGUAUGGAGAGGAUAACCGCCGAAAGCAUCUAAGUGGGAAGCCCACCUCAAGAUGAG